UCCGGUAGCGAAGCCUCUAUCUCGUCCUCUGCUCCCGCGGGGGUCUGGGCUGAGAAUAAUGGCCCGGUUGGCCCGGGACGAGUGGAACGAUUAAUGAUGUUUUGCAGCAGUUUUCUACGUCUGAAAUUUUUUGUCUCUGGAACCCAGAAUUUGCUAAGAGAUGGAGGAACCUCAGAAAAGCUAUCUGAACACAAUGGACCUUGAGAAAGAUGAACCUCUCAAAAGCACCGGCCCUCAGAUUUCUGUUAGUGAAUUUUCUUGCCACUGCUGCUACGACAUCCUGGUUAACCCCACCACCUUGAACUGUGGGCACAGCUUCUGCCGUCACUGCCUUGCUUUAUGGUGGGCAUCUUCAAAGAAAACAGAAUGUCCAGAAUGCAGAGAAAAAUGGGAAGGUUUCCCCAAAGUCAAUAUUCUCCUCAGGUGGUCCUGCUUGUCUAUCACUGGAGCAGCAGGGAAUCUGAACACGACCUCCUGGUCCACAAGGCUGUGGCCAAAUGGACGGCGGAAGAAGUUGUCCUCUGGCUGGAGCAGCUGGGCCCUUGGGCCUCUCUUUACAGGGAAAGGUUUUUAUCUGAACGAGUAAAUGGAAGGUGAGGAGCAAAGUCUUCUGACACACCAUGGACAUUUUAGAAAACAGCUUUAUUGAGAUAUAAUCCAGGCCAGGCGCGGUGGCUCACACCUGUAUCCCAGCACUUUGGGAGGCCGAGGCGGAUGGAUCAUUUGAGGUCGGGAGUUCGAGACCAGCCUGACCAAUACGAUGAAACCCCAUCUCUACUAAAAAUACAAAAAAAAAAUUGACCGGGCGUGGUAGUGCACACCUUGUAAUCCCAUCUAUUUGGGAGGCUGAGACAGGAGAAUCACUUGAACCCAAGAGGUGGAGGUUGCAGUGAGCCAAGAUCAUGCCACUGCACUCCAGCCUAGGUUAGGCAACAGGGCAAGAAUCCAUCUCAAAAAAAGAGAGAGAGAGAUGUAAUCCACAUAAAAUUCACACGUUUGAAGUGCACAAUCCAUGGUUUUUAAUGUGUUCACAAAUAGUGUGAUUAUCACCACAGCUGGUUUUAGAACAUUUUCAUCACCCUAAAAGAAAGCUUUUACCCUUUAGUCAAUCCUCAUUUCUCUCCAACCCCAAGCCCCUGGCAAACACCAUUCUACUUUCUGUCUCUAUGGAUUUGUCUA
Molecule: small RNA, 1179 nt
Filed under: Pongo abelii (Sumatran orangutan)
Lineage: Eukaryota; Metazoa; Chordata; Mammalia; Primates; Hominidae
Description: retained intron
Source: RNAcentral